Molecule: small nucleolar RNA, 93 nt
Filed under: Lachancea fermentati
Lineage: Eukaryota; Fungi; Ascomycota; Saccharomycetes; Saccharomycetales; Saccharomycetaceae
Description: Small nucleolar RNA snR57
Rfam family: Small nucleolar RNA snR57
About the family: snR57 is a member of the C/D class of snoRNA which contain the C (UGAUGA) and D (CUGA) box motifs. Most of the members of the box C/D family function in directing site-specific 2'-O-methylation of substrate RNAs.
Source: Rfam by way of RNAcentral
AUCCAAAUGAUUAUAAAAACAAUCUUUUUGAGUCUGAGGAAGUAUAUGCAGGACUUUAUUGUUAUUUAGGAAUUCUUCGUUUAUGAUCUGGAC